Molecule: ribosomal RNA, 253 nt
Filed under: uncultured bacterium
Lineage: Bacteria
Description: partial 16S ribosomal RNA
Rfam family: Bacterial small subunit ribosomal RNA
Source: RNAcentral
UACGGAGGAUGCAAGCGUUAUCCGGAUUCAUUGGGUUUAAAGGGUGCGCAGGCGGAGUGUUAAGUCAGUGGUGAAAGCCUGCAGCUCAACUGCAGAACUGCCAUUGAUACUGACAUUCUUGAGUAUUGUUGAGGUAGGCGGAAUGUGUCAUGUAGCGGUGAAAUGCUUAGAUAUGACACAGAACACCGAUCGCGAAGGCAGCUUACCAAGCAAUAACUGACGCUCAUGCACGAAAGCGUGGGGAUCAAACAGG